Long non-coding RNA from Manis pentadactyla (Chinese pangolin), 1162 nucleotides. RefSeq lists it as uncharacterized. The record is from RefSeq and is a predicted model, not a curated record. The transcript has 3 exons. NCBI's taxonomy places the organism in Eukaryota, Metazoa, Chordata, Mammalia, Pholidota, Manidae.
UUCCUUCAUAUAUUUUUUUGUAAUGAAGCUGCAUUUCAAUGAUGACAAAGAAGCCAUCUAACGAUUUGCCAUCUUUGAAAAAUUAUCCCAGCCCCCCUGUCUGCCCUGAGCGUGACGUGCAUGCUGGCUGUUCAGCUGGCGCUCCCACUGCUCUGAACUCCCCUUGCCCUUGGUGCCUAAGAAGAGAAAUGGUUUGCCACACUCAUUGACAGGAUAAGGACAACACUGGGACACUUUAUGACAAAAAGAGCCCAGGCCACGCGUGAUGGGCCAGCGUCACACUCUGAUCACGUGAAGUUCUGUACCACAAGUACCUGAUCUAGAUACAUGAUGCUCACACGACAUCUCACAACAUCCAGGCGAGGGUGGUGGCUUCUUUCUCACUGCAUCGUGGAGCAACAUUUCAUGAGCUGCAUGGGGCCACAGAUACAAAAAAUUCCUGGGAAAACCCAGAGUGAAGAGAUUCUCAUCAAAACAACUAUUUACAGCCUGGAAUCUGAAGACAGGUGGCCUAGGUUCAAAUCUCAGCUCUACCCUGUCCCAGCUUGGCCACCCAGCAAAGAUGCCUGAUCCACCCCAACCCCGGGCCAGCCUGCUGCCUCCUCCAGCACAGCCCCAAUGACCAGCCUGUGCUCACGCCAGGGCCCCCUGGACAGCCCUGUCCGUCAUCUAACCUCCGGGAGCCUGGCCCGCCUCCUCCAGCCCCACCGCCGCCCCACGCAUCUGAUUCUGCUGAGUUUGAGUCUCUUGGAUCUCGCAGCCUCACACACCUGACUUCAGAGCAGGGAGGCCUUCCAAAGAGUGGCCCCCCUGCGUAACAGCUUGCACAGAACAUGAAAGGAACUCAGGUCACAGCCACAUCCCCUCUGCAACUUCCCCUUUGGGCGCCGCCAUCCCCUGACUCCCUCCUGCCCCAGAUGCCUGCUGAUCCCCAGGCAGGCGCUUCCUGCCCUCCUUCCCUGGCCCGGCCUCUGAGCCUUGCCAGCCUGGAGGAGCGGCCGCAGACACCUGCCAGGCCCCAGGUCUACUGGACCUGGCCCCCUAUGGUCCCGGCGGUGCCCCUCCCUCUGCGGGGGGCUCUCUGGAAAUUGUGUUUCUACCACAGCAAGAGAAAUCCUCAUGGAUAGUUUCUAGUAAAAAAAAAGAAAAGCUCACCUCAUUA